Molecule: transfer RNA, 77 nt
Filed under: Candidatus Omnitrophota bacterium
Lineage: Bacteria; Pseudomonadati; Candidatus Omnitrophota
Also listed under: 1 other name
Description: tRNA-Gly
Rfam family: tRNA
About the family: Transfer RNA (tRNA) molecules are approximately 80 nucleotides in length. Their secondary structure includes four short double-helical elements and three loops (D, anti-codon, and T loops). Further hydrogen bonds mediate the characteristic L-shaped molecular structure. tRNAs have two regions of fundamental functional importance: the anti-codon, which is responsible for specific mRNA codon recognition, and the 3' end, to which the tRNAs corresponding amino acid is attached (by aminoacyl-tRNA synthetases). tRNAs cope with the degeneracy of the genetic code in two manners: having more than one tRNA (with a specific anti-codon) for a particular amino acid; and 'wobble' base-pairing, i.e. permitting non-standard base-pairing at the 3rd anti-codon position.
Source: RNAcentral
GCGGGAGUAGCUCAGUUGGCUAGAGCAUCAGCCUUCCAAGCUGAGGGUCGCGGGUUCGAACCCCGUCUCCCGCUCCA